RNAcentral lists this ribosomal RNA (500 nucleotides) under Staphylococcus aureus. Its description in RNAcentral is "bacterial SSU rRNA". It matches the Rfam family "Bacterial small subunit ribosomal RNA", at positions 1 to 482 of the family's 1533-position model. Lineage: Bacteria; Bacillati; Bacillota; Bacilli; Caryophanales; Staphylococcaceae. The record is from RNAcentral.
UUUUAUGGAGAGUUUGAUCCUGGCUCAGGAUGAACGCUGGCGGCGUGCCUAAUACAUGCAAGUCGAGCGAACGGACGAGAAGCUUGCUUCUCUGAUGUUAGCGGCGGACGGGGGAGUAACACGUGGAUAACCUACCUAUAAGACUGGGAUAACUUCGGGAAACCGGAGCUAAUACCGGAUAAUAUUUUGAACCGCAUGGUUCAAAAGUGAAAGACGGUCUUGCUGUCACUUAUAGAUGGAUCCGCGCUGCAUUAGCUAGUUGGUAAGGUAACGGCUUACCAAGGCAACGAUGCAUAGCCGACCUGAGAGGGUGAUCGGCCACACUGGAACUGAGACACGGUCCAGACUCCUACGGGAGGCAGCAGUAGGGAAUCUUCCGCAAUGGGCGAAAGCCUGACGGAGCAACGCCGCGUGAGUGAUGAAGGUCUUCGGAUCGUAAAACUCUGUUAUUAGGGAAGAACAUAUGUGUAAGUAACUGUGCACAUCUUGACGGUACCUAA